AAUAGAUACCCAGGUAGUCCACGCCGUAAACGAUGGAUACUAGCUGUCCGGCGCAAGCUGGGUGGCUAAGCGAAAGUGAUAAGUAUCCCACCUGGGGAGUACGUUCGCAAGAAUGAAACUCAAGGGAAUUGACGGGGGCCCGCACAAGCGGUGGAGCAUGUGGUUUAAUUCGAUGAUACGCGAGGAACCUUACCAGGGCUUAAAUGUAGUGGGACAGGUCCAGAGAUGGGCCCUUCUUCGGACUCAUUACAAGGUGCUGCAUGGUUGUCGUCAGCUCGUGCCGUGAGGUGUCAGGUUAAGUCCUAUAACGAGCGCAACCCCUGUCGUUAGUUGCCAGCGAGUGAAGUCGGGAACUCUAACGAGACUGCCGGUGCAAACCGUGAGGAAGGUGGGGAUGACGUCAAAUCAUCACGGCCCUUACGUCCUGGGCUACACACGUGCUACAAUGGCCGGUACAGAGAGCAGCCACGCCGCAAGGCGGAGCGAAUCUACAAAACCGGUCACAGUUCGGAUCGGGGUCUGCAACUCGACCCCGU
Molecule: ribosomal RNA, 536 nt
Filed under: uncultured bacterium
Lineage: Bacteria
Description: bacterial SSU rRNA
Rfam family: Bacterial small subunit ribosomal RNA
Source: RNAcentral